GGUAAGGUGGCCGAGUGGUUAAGGCGAUACACUCGAAAUGUAUUGGAUUCGUCCGCAGAGGUUCGAAUCCUCUCCUUAUCG
Molecule: transfer RNA, 81 nt
Filed under: Phaeoacremonium minimum UCRPA7
Lineage: Eukaryota; Fungi; Ascomycota; Sordariomycetes; Togniniales; Togniniaceae
Description: tRNA-Ser (CGA) (tRNA-Ser-CGA-1-1)
Rfam family: tRNA
About the family: Transfer RNA (tRNA) molecules are approximately 80 nucleotides in length. Their secondary structure includes four short double-helical elements and three loops (D, anti-codon, and T loops).
Source: RNAcentral